UGAAGCGGAGAAUUAUUUUCGAAAAUAUUGGAAAGCAUACGAGGUUGAGCAGUGAAGUGGUGGAGGAAGUGCUAUUGAGACAAUACAUUUAAUUCUGUCAGAUUAGGUCUCUCGGAGGUUCAUGUCUCCAUACAUGGAACCGCGUUCUUUUCCUUCCGCUGUGCAUCUUAAAAGACUCAAGUCUAUUUUGUUCAAAACUCUGAUAUUUUGAAAAUUUUUACAAACAAUUACUCGAGUUUUGCAUAAGCGAGUAUCUUUUCCUCUAUGUAUCAGCACUUGAUUA
Molecule: non-coding RNA, 283 nt
Organism: Salvia hispanica
Lineage: Eukaryota; Viridiplantae; Streptophyta; Magnoliopsida; Lamiales; Lamiaceae
Source: RefSeq, a predicted model, not a curated record